This 291-nucleotide ribosomal RNA is filed under the name Geomesophilobacter sediminis. RNAcentral's name for it is "Bacterial small subunit ribosomal RNA". It matches the Rfam family "Bacterial small subunit ribosomal RNA", at positions 1 to 285 of the family's 1533-position model. The record is from Rfam by way of RNAcentral. Lineage: Bacteria; Pseudomonadati; Thermodesulfobacteriota; Desulfuromonadia; Geobacterales; Geobacteraceae.
AAACUGGAGAGUUUGAUCCUGGCUCAGAACGAACGCUGGCGGCGUGCUUAACACAUGCAAGUCGAACGGGAUUCAGAGCUUGCUCUGAUGAGAGUGGCGCACGGGUGAGUAACGCGUGGAUAACCUGCCCUGGUAUCUGGAAUAACAUCUCGAAAGGGGUGCUAAUACCGGAUAAGCCCACGAGGUCUUCGGAUUUUGCGGGAAAAGGUGGCUCCGGCUACCGUAUCAGGAUGGGUCCGCGUACCAUUAGCUAGUUGGCGGGGUAAUGGCCCACCAAGGCGACGAUGGUUA